Amaranthus tricolor (Joseph's coat) is the source of this 2927-nucleotide long non-coding RNA. RefSeq lists it as uncharacterized. Lineage: Eukaryota; Viridiplantae; Streptophyta; Magnoliopsida; Caryophyllales; Amaranthaceae. The record is from RefSeq and is a predicted model, not a curated record. The transcript is spliced from 3 exons.
GACGCUUGAUCAACUGUCUAAAAAAUACGGAAAUUUUAGACGGAUUAUUUUCGACGCUUAAAUACGUGGAAAUUUAACAAACAAAACGCGUCAAAAAAAUAAGAGGAAAAAUACAUCAGAUAAACCGCCCGAACCAAAAAAUUGAAGAAAACCGCUUCUUAAUUCAGUGAAAAGAAUCCUGCCCACAUUCAUCCUUUUCAUUUGUUCUCAGCGCCUUUAACCUAGCAACAUACAUUCAUCCUCUCAUCCUCUAAUCCUCUCAUCCUCUCAAGUGCGCCACCAUUCUCCCUCCGGCGGCCAGUACCAGCACCGAAAAACAUCCACCGACCUUCACCGGCCGGUCAAAUUGCAGAAAUCAGGUAUACUCGAGCAUCUGAUUUUUCUUCUCUAAUUUUGCACCGAAAUUCUGGGUUUGUUUGGUUACUGUUUGGGUUGAAUUUGGGUAGCGAAUUGAUGUGCUGAUAUUUCUAUGUUUGUUUUACCCUAAUUGUCUAGAUUAUCAAAUUGAUUUUACCCUAAUUGUUAUACAUGUUUGAUGUCAGUGCUUGUUAAGAAUUCUAAUACACUAAUUUGCAGAAAAAUGAUGUACUUCUACUUUGUGAAUUUCAUUGGCUGGCUUUUUGUUUGGUGUGUUAAAAUAAAGGAACUCAACUUUAAUCUUGUGCUGUACUUAUUUUUUCUAUUGGUUUUUUGUUGCAACGUUUUAAUGUUCAGAUAGUUCUAUUACAAUUUCCUUAUUGCUGGACAUAUUCUUGUGUUAAAACCUAAGGACAUAUUCUUUAAUCUUGCGUUAAAACCUAAGGACAUAUUCUGUCUGAAUUGUCAAAAGAUGGAACCUUUUGUCCACUUGGAGCACAAAAUGGGAAGCGUGUUGAUGAUCAUUGCAAGCAAAGGAUCAUUAAAACGGUUUGGGUAUGCAUUAAACAUUCUUUAUUAUUAUUAUUUGAUAUUACUAUUCUCAACAUAUGCGUAUUUGACAAAGGAGAUUCUCACCAUAUGUAUUGGAUAAAUUUGUGUUACCUAAUACAAAAGAGUUUCGUUGAAUGAUAUUGUCACAUAUAAAUAUGAAGUGGAAGCAUUACAAGUGGGAGUUUCAAAGGGACUAUUAUCAACCUAAUGUGACAAAGAGAAGAUAAUUGAGAAUAUGCCUAAAAAUGUGAUUAAAGAGCAGUGGAUUAGUUUGGUUUCUUACUGGACCUCAGAAAAGUUCAAGGUAUUUGUACAUAGUGUAUUAUAACAAAUUUAACAUAAAUUUAAGUUUUAUAUUCACCAAGUUACAACCUAAUAAUUUAACAUUGACAAAAAUUAUCAACACUGGGAAAAAGAGCUCGUGAAAUACAUAAUCAUGUACAUACUACAGGGUCAAAGAGUUAUGCUCAAAUGGAAAACUGAAUUUGUAAGUAUGGAUACAAUUAUUUAUGAUGCCUAUAUUUGUGAUAAGGUUAUUUCUUUGGGAUAAUCCGUUACUUUUAAAUAGGUUAAGUUGAAUCACAGAGGACCUAGUGGGCUAGAAAUGUGGAAACGUACACACACUACAAAGAGUGGUGGUUGUGUAGAGGGUACAUCCACUCAAGAAUUCAUGGUGUAUUAGAGUAGUGAAUUGGAAACAUUUAUCAUUAUGACAAAUGUGAUUGCAUAUUUCAUUUAUACUUUUGUAUUGUUAUAGGACAUUGCUGAAAGUAGGGUUAAUGAACGUUUACGUGAUUAGAAACAACCUCGUGAGGUGAUUGAGACAGAAGUUUUUAGUGAGAUGAUGUAUCAACAAGACAAACCUAAUCAGCGUGUUGUUGGUUAUGGUCACGGGGUUAGUAGAUAUCACAUGUUUGGUAUUGAAGCUCAAUUACGAAACAAGAUAAGUGAUUGUGGUGGUACUUCAAGUGAUGUUAUGGGGCUUAAAUCCUACCUAUUGUCUGUUGAGGGAAAAAGUGAUGAGGUUAUGAGAAAAAAUGAUGAGAUUAUUUCCCAAUUACAAAAAAGAAAUGAUGAGGUUACUUCUCAGCUUUUGAAAAAAAAAAUGAAGAAGUUGAAGAACUAAGAGCUCAAAAUCAAAAAAUUCUCACUCAGCUUGUAUUAGUCUUAGAUCAAUUACAACAAAAUCAAAGGACAAUUGGAUGAAGUAGAUAUGAUAAUGACUUAUAUAAAGUUUUUUAUAUUCAUGGGGAGUUUGGUAAUUAAGAUUUUUGUAGCUGAUGUUCAUAUUAUGACCAACAAAUCAUCUUUUGCGAAGGUUUUGACACUAGAGUGGAAAUUGCAACAUAAUGUAAACAAUUCUGCAGGCCUUCAACUUUUGACAAACUUUUAAAUUUUAAAUUUUGGUCUCUUAAACAUCGAUAAAUAUAUAUAUGUAUGUGAAUAUUGAUCAAAUUAGGCACCUAUGUUGCUUGGACUUUUUUGACCAAGCUACAAAAACUUAAGGUCAAAGCUACAUCAACGAAUGUAUGUGCGUAGAUGAAUAUCAAAUGCUAAUACUUUUGUGGAUAUGAUUGAUUUGGUAUGAUGUUUGUUAGUAAUUAUGUAUGUUUGAUGAAUUUAAUAUAGUCUGGAAAAUAAAUACAUUUUCAAUGCAUGUAAAUGUUUAAAGCAUAUAUCUAGAUAUCAAGGGCUUUAAAGGGUUACUUUUUAUUUAGACGUAUAAAAGCGUCUAAAAUAUUAAGUACUAUCCACAUGAAAAGCCUCUAAAAAAUUCAGCAUUUCCACACAAAAAAACGUCGAAAAUAGUCAGCAUUUUCCACGCUUCAAAGUGUCUAAAAAAGUGAGAUUGUAGUAUGGAUUUAAGGCGCGAAAUCUUUUUUCCCACAGUAAGAAGCAUCGGAAAAUAGAUAUAACAUCCACUGUAAAAAGCGUCGAAAAUUUGUAACUGCAAUUUUUAGACGCUUCGUCAAGCGUGGAAAAUAUAUUUUUGACGGUUAAAACUGUAAGCUCCGUGU